This 305-nucleotide ribosomal RNA is filed under the name uncultured bacterium. Its description in RNAcentral is "bacterial SSU rRNA". It matches the Rfam family "Bacterial small subunit ribosomal RNA", at positions 338 to 638 of the family's 1533-position model. The record is from RNAcentral.
CCUACGGGGGGCAGCAGUGAGGAAUAUUGGUCAAUGGACGCAAGUCUGAACCAGCCAAGUAGCGUGCAGGAUGACGGCCCUCCGGGUUGUAAACUGCUUUUAGUUGGGAAUAAAAGGGGGCUCGUGAGCCCCGUAUUGUAUGUACCAUCAGAAAAAGGACCGGCUAAUUCCGUGCCAGCAGCCGCGGUAAUACGGAAGGUCCGGGCGUUAUCCGGAUUUAUUGGGUUUAAAGGGAGCGUAGGCCGGUCUUUAAGCGUGCCGUGAAAUUUUGUGGCUCAACCAUGAGAGUGCGGCGCGAACUGGAG